GAUGAAGAACGUAGCGAAAUGCGAUACGUAAUGUGAAUUGCAGAAUUCAGUGAAUCAUCGAAUCUCUGAACGCAUAUUGCGCUCUCUGGUAUUCCGGAGAGCAUGCUUGUUUGAGUAUCAGUAAACACCUCAACUCUUUUUUCUUUUUUGAAAUUGGAGCUGGACUUGAGUGAUCCCAACGCUUUCUUCCAAGAAAGUGGCGGGUUGCUUGAAAUGCAGGUGCAGCUGAACUUUUCUCUGAGCUAUAAGCAUAUCUAUUUAGUCUGCCUAAAAAACAGAUUAUUACCUUUGCUGCAGCUAACAUAAAGGAGACUAGUUCUUGUGCUGACUGAUGCAGGAUUCACAGAGACAGCUUCGGCUGACUUUGUAAACUCGAUCUCAAAUCAAGUAAGACUACCCGCUGAACUUAAGCAUAUCAAUAAGCGGAGGA
Molecule: unclassified non-coding RNA, 430 nt
Filed under: soil metagenome
Description: partial contains 5.8S ribosomal RNA, internal transcribed spacer 2, and large subunit ribosomal RNA
Rfam family: 5.8S ribosomal RNA (bases 1-120)
Source: RNAcentral